This 253-nucleotide ribosomal RNA is filed under the name uncultured bacterium. RNAcentral describes it as "partial 16S ribosomal RNA". It matches the Rfam family "Bacterial small subunit ribosomal RNA", at positions 524 to 776 of the family's 1533-position model. The record is from RNAcentral.
UACGGAGGGGGCGAGCGUUAUUCGGAAUUAUUGGGCGUAAAGAGCUCGUAGGCGGCUUGUCACGUCGGGUGUGAAAGCCCGGGGCUUAACCCCGGGUCUGCAUUCGAUACGGGCAGGCUAGAGUGUGGUAGGGGAGAUCGGAAUUCCUGGUGUAGCGGUGAAAUGCGUAGAUAUCAGGAGGAAUACCGAUGGCGAAGGCAGGUCUCUGGGCUGACACUGACGCUCAUGCACGAAAGCGUGGGGAGCAAACAGG